CCUACGGGGGGCAGCAAUUAGGAAUCUUGCGCAAUGGGCGAAAGCCUGACGCAGCGACGCCGCGUGACUGAUGAAGUCUUUCGGGAUGUAAAGGUCUUUUCUGAAGGAAGAACACAAUGACGGUACUUCAGGAAUAAGCCCCGGCUAACUACGUGCCAGCAGCCGCGGUAAUACGUAGGGGGCGAGCGUUGUCCGAAUUCACUGGGCGUAAAGCGCGCGUAGGCGGACUAUUAAGUUGAUGGUGAAAUCCCGGGGCUCAACCUCGGAACUGCCUUCAAAACUGAUAGUCUUGAGGUUUGGAGAGGGAAUUGGAAUUCCAGGUGUAGCGGUGAAAUGCGUAGAUAUCUGGAGGAACACCCAUGGCGAAGGCAGAUUCCUGGCCAUAUCCUGACGCUGAGGUGCGAAAGCCAGGGUAGCGAACG
Molecule: ribosomal RNA, 422 nt
Filed under: uncultured prokaryote
Description: bacterial SSU rRNA
Rfam family: Bacterial small subunit ribosomal RNA
Source: RNAcentral